UCUGGACCGGAAAUCCCUCUUUUUGGACUUGAAGACGAGAGGUGCAGGACGGUGGUUCCUCCUUGCUCCUCGCCCAUAGCAACAAAAUGAUGAGUUUUUGGCCAUUUCUUCGACCGAGUGGAGACGUGUGCAUGGUUGUGCAAAGAUAAUCAGAUGGACAGCUGUGAAAUAUGAUCUACAGUCUCUGAUACGUGGUGACCCUGACGGAAUGCAAAUCAGGUUUGCUCCAUCUUGUCUCCGGUAAAGAAGCGGUAUAAACAGAAAGAAAGGAGAAAUUUUGUUCAUCUCGGGUAUGUAUUUCAAACUGUCACAUGCUGUCUUAAAAUAUCCACCGGUUACCCGAGCCGUUUAUCCUUAUGAAAAAUAAAUCAUUUGAAAAAAAAAA
Hippocampus comes (tiger tail seahorse) is the source of this 385-nucleotide long non-coding RNA. RefSeq lists it as uncharacterized. The transcript is spliced from 4 exons. Lineage: Eukaryota; Metazoa; Chordata; Actinopteri; Syngnathiformes; Syngnathidae. The record is from RefSeq and is a predicted model, not a curated record.